AACUUUGCACAGUGUUAGUAUUGUAGUCAAUGAGGUUUAUCUGAGGCACGAUUAUUGCUAGUUGAAGAUAAAAAUCUUAGGGGGGAACAAAACCAUAUUGGGAUUUUAAAAACCUAUAUCGCUGG
RNAcentral lists this small nuclear RNA (125 nucleotides) under Fukomys damarensis (Damara mole-rat). Its description in RNAcentral is "U4 spliceosomal RNA". It matches the Rfam family "U4 spliceosomal RNA". From Rfam's summary of the family: U4 small nuclear RNA (U4 snRNA) is a component of the major U2-dependent spliceosome. The structure of U4 snRNA from yeast and human has been reported. The record is from Rfam by way of RNAcentral. Lineage: Eukaryota; Metazoa; Chordata; Mammalia; Rodentia; Bathyergidae.